CCCUUAGAUGUUCCGGGCCGCACGCGCGCUACAAUGAUGAAUUCAACGAGUUUAUAACCUUGGUUGAAAAGCCUGGGUAAUCUUUUGAACUUUCGUCGUGAUGGGGCUAGACCCUUGCAAUUAUUGGUCUCCAACGAGGAAUUCCUAGUAAACGCAAGUCAUCAGCUUGCAUUGAUUACGUCCCUGCCCUUUGUACACACCGCCCGUCGCACCUACCGAUUGAAUGGUCCGGUGAAAUCUUCGGAUUGAGACUUUGUUUUCUUCACGGAAAACGCUGUUUUAAAAAGUUGAUUAAACCUUACCAUUUAGAGGAAGGUGAAGUCGUAACA
Molecule: ribosomal RNA, 329 nt
Filed under: uncultured eukaryote
Lineage: Eukaryota
Description: partial 18S ribosomal RNA
Rfam family: Eukaryotic small subunit ribosomal RNA
Source: RNAcentral